GUAGCUCAGCGGUAGAGCACUUGCCUUGCACGCAUGAGGGCCUGGGUUCGAUUCUUCAGC
Molecule: transfer RNA, 60 nt
Filed under: Dipodomys ordii (Ord's kangaroo rat)
Lineage: Eukaryota; Metazoa; Chordata; Mammalia; Rodentia; Heteromyidae
Rfam family: tRNA
About the family: Transfer RNA (tRNA) molecules are approximately 80 nucleotides in length.
Source: Rfam by way of RNAcentral